RNAcentral lists this long non-coding RNA (240 nucleotides) under Elaeis guineensis (African oil palm). Its description in RNAcentral is "long non-coding RNA (EGUI_LNC045024)". Lineage: Eukaryota; Viridiplantae; Streptophyta; Magnoliopsida; Arecales; Arecaceae. The record is from RNAcentral.
UCCUGGCCAAGAUCUUACUAAAUUGAAACACAAAGCAUUCUUUCCAAUCCCUUGGAGUGGUUAAUUCCAACUUGACUCACAUAUCGACUUCACAAGUACUUGACUGUGCCCAAAAAUCUUUCGAUCCUGAAUUAAAAAUUCAGAUAGUUUGACACCAAAGCAUAGUGAGUUGCUUGCAAGUCACCGUGGUGAUCUCAAGUCGAAGGGACACUUAUAUUCAUAUCCCUGUAGAGUGACUCU